GAUGAACGCUGGCGGCGUGCUUAACACAUGCAAGUCGAACGGUGAGGCGCCUUCCUUUUUGGUGGGUGUGGAUGGGCGGCGAACGGGUGAGUAACACGUGAGUAUCCUGCUCCGUCCUUCUGGAUAACCGCAUGACAGUGUGGCUACUACGUGACAUUCUGGGUCUGUCGCUUGAUCGGUCAGGGACAGACUUUGUUUCGGUGGUGGAUGGGCUCGCGCCGUAUCAGCUUGUUGGUGGGGUGAUGGCCUACCAAGGCGAUGAGGAGUAGCCGGCCUGAGAGGAUCGACGACCACACAGGGGCGGCGACACGGCGAAGACUACGACAGGCGGCAGCAGUGGAGAAUAUGGCACAGUGGGCGGAAGGCUGAUGCAGCGACGCGGCGGGAGAGAUGGAGGCCGGCGCGUUGAGAACCUCUUUCGCGAGAGAAGCAGGCCGGCAGCGUUUGUGGAUGGGUUGACGGUAGCUGGACAGGAAGCGCCGGCUAACUACGUG
This 494-nucleotide ribosomal RNA is filed under the name uncultured bacterium. RNAcentral describes it as "partial 16S ribosomal RNA". It matches the Rfam family "Bacterial small subunit ribosomal RNA", at positions 28 to 507 of the family's 1533-position model. The record is from RNAcentral.